Molecule: unclassified non-coding RNA, 332 nt
Filed under: soil metagenome
Description: partial contains 5.8S ribosomal RNA, internal transcribed spacer 2, and large subunit ribosomal RNA
Rfam family: 5.8S ribosomal RNA (bases 1-120)
Source: RNAcentral
GAUGAAGAACGCAGCGAAAUGCGAUAAGUAAUGUGAAUUGCAGAAUUCAGUGAAUCAUCGAAUCUUUGAACGCACAUUGCGCCCGCCAGUAUUCUGGCGGGCAUGCCUGUUCGAGCGUCAUUUCAACCCUCAAGCACAGCUUGGUGUUGGGACUCGCGUUAAUUCGCGUUCCCCAAAUUGAUUGGCGGUCACGUCGAGCUUCCAUAGCGUAGUAGUAAAACCCUCGUUACUGGUAAUCGUAGCGGCCACGCCGUUAAACCCCAACUUCUGAAUGUUGACCUCGGAUCAGGUAGGAAUACCCGCUGAACUUAAGCAUAUCAAUAAGCGGAGGA